AAUCACUAGCUAAACUACCAUA
RNAcentral lists this non-coding RNA (22 nucleotides) under Xenopus tropicalis (tropical clawed frog). Lineage: Eukaryota; Metazoa; Chordata; Amphibia; Anura; Pipidae. The record is from RNAcentral.